This 30-nucleotide non-coding RNA is filed under the name Homo sapiens (human). The record is from RNAcentral. Lineage: Eukaryota; Metazoa; Chordata; Mammalia; Primates; Hominidae.
UCCGCCAAUGUGUUCCUCUCGACGUCCAGC